RNAcentral lists this small nuclear RNA (93 nucleotides) under Pongo abelii (Sumatran orangutan). RNAcentral's name for it is "U4 spliceosomal RNA (ENSPPYG00000029188.2)". The stretch from base 1 to 69 matches the Rfam family "U4 spliceosomal RNA". Rfam says of the family: U4 small nuclear RNA (U4 snRNA) is a component of the major U2-dependent spliceosome. The structure of U4 snRNA from yeast and human has been reported. Lineage: Eukaryota; Metazoa; Chordata; Mammalia; Primates; Hominidae. The record is from RNAcentral.
AGCUUUGCGCAGUGGCAGUAUCGUAGCCAAUGAAGUCUAUCCGAGGCGCGACUAUUGCUAAUAGAAACAGGAAGAUUUUUUUAAUAAAUACUC